Molecule: ribosomal RNA, 703 nt
Filed under: Bacillus cereus
Lineage: Bacteria; Bacillati; Bacillota; Bacilli; Caryophanales; Bacillaceae
Description: bacterial SSU rRNA
Rfam family: Bacterial small subunit ribosomal RNA
Source: RNAcentral
CGGCGGACGGGUGAGUAACACGUGGGUCACCUGCCCAUAACACUGGGAUAACUCCGGGAAACCGGGGCUAAUACCGGAUAACAUUUUGAACCGCAUGGUUCAAAUUUGAAGGGCGGCUUCGGCUGUCUCUUAUGGAUGGACCCGCGUCGCUAUAUCUAUUUGGAGAGGUAGCGGCUCCCCAGGGCCACUAUGCGUACCCCACCUGAGAGGGUGAUCGCCCACUCUGGGACUGACACACGGCCCACACUCCUACGGGAGGCAGCAGUAGGGAAUCUUCCGCAGUGGACAAAAGUCUGACGGAACAACCCCGCGUGAGUGAUGAGGGUUUUCGGGUCGUAAAUCUCUUUUGUUAGGGAAAAACAAGUGCUACUUGAAUAAGCUGGCCCCUUGACGGCCCCUACCCAAAACCCCACGGAUAUCUACGUGCCAACACCCGCGGAUAUACAUAUGUGGCAAGCGUUAUCCAAAAUUAUUGGGCGUAGAGCGCGCGCGGGUGGUUUCUUAAGUCUGAUGUGAAAGCCCACGUCUCACCCGUGGAGGGUCUUUGGACUGUGGGACACUUGAGUGCAGAAGAAGAGAGUGAAAUUACGUGUGUAGCGGAGAAGUGCGUAGAUAUGUGGAAGAACACCAGUGGAGAGCGACACUCUCUGGUCUGUAUCUGACUCUGAGGCGCGAAAGCGUGGAGAGCAAACGAGAUUAUAUA